Molecule: long non-coding RNA, 1044 nt
Filed under: Oryctolagus cuniculus (rabbit)
Lineage: Eukaryota; Metazoa; Chordata; Mammalia; Lagomorpha; Leporidae
Description: lncRNA (ENSOCUG00000031081.1)
Source: RNAcentral
AAAAAAAAAAAAUAGAAGCUCUUGCAUAGUUUUUUGUAAUAGCCCUUUCCAUGAACUUUUUGAAGACACCUCAUGUUUCUGGUGAAUAUUAAAUGAAUGGUAAUAGUGAUGAUGAUGAUGAUGAUGAUGAUGACAAUAAUGAAGAUAGUUUACAUUUAUUUCAUAUUUGCUAGGUUGUAGGAAUUCAAUUUGCAUAUAUUACUUGAUCCUCAUAACACUCUAGUGAAGUAGAAAUAAAAUUUCCAUGUUGGAGAAAAUCACAAACUUAUACAGAUAGCAUGGAGAAAAGAUGUGACUUGAGCCAGUUCUGAAAAAUUCAAAAACCACCAUAAUGCAUGCUCUUUCCGCAUUUUAAUUAAUGCAUGAUAAUUGGACUCUAUUUGAACCUCGGUUCAUAUGAAAUUAAAUAGGUUUCUUUAGCACAUUGAACACCUCUGCCUCCCCCUCCCCAUUUGCCAGCUUCGUGGUUUUGGCACCCCAAAUGGUCAUCAAUGAAGCACUCUGGAAAGCAGAGGUGAGGACGCAGAUACCUGUUUCCUGCAAUGUCAAUAGCUUUCCAUCCCCAUGAAACAACAACAUAGAUAUCAAGAUUUACCUGCAUUUUAUACCCAUCAAAUCAAUAUAAAAAGAUGAGGAGAAAAAUUCUGCUGCUUCGGUGGAAUGAGAAUGAGCCAUGUUUUACAGUAAUGCCAAUAAGAUGAGCAAAAGAAAAAAAUGCUGAGAGUUUUUAUUUAGGAGCUCUUUCCUAAAUGGGAUGUGCAUAUAAUAUGAAGUGUUAAGAUGUGCUGAAGUUAUAAGAAAAUCUUGUUGGUAGGAGAGACAAAAAGAGCUCUUUCCUCCCAAGGAGAUUGAGAACAGGCUGAUUUUGUUAACACAGUUGUCCACUUAAUAAUUUUAUUUAUUGUAAGGGACAGGGGAGAGAGACAGAGUAGCAGGGAGAGAGAGGAAGAGGGGGAGAUCUUUUAGCCACUGGUUCACCCCCAGAUGUUGCAAGAGCCAGGCCUGGGCCAGGCUGAAGCCAGGAGCCAGCACUGAAUAGAGGUC